Molecule: long non-coding RNA, 1758 nt
Organism: Syngnathoides biaculeatus (alligator pipefish)
Lineage: Eukaryota; Metazoa; Chordata; Actinopteri; Syngnathiformes; Syngnathidae
Exons: 5
Source: RefSeq, a predicted model, not a curated record
UCUUCAUGUCCCGUUCGUGUGGUCCGGUAUCCCUGAUUGAACCUGUGUGUAGCGACCUUCGCAUGUUCUCCGACCAACCUUGUAAGCCUGACUCCUUUGAUACUUCUGCCUGCGUUGAUUGUUCCCCUGUGUACCGACUCCUGCCUGUCCGCUCACCUGCUCUCUUCGCCCGACGUCCCAACUACCGCUGCUGCACCGGACUGCCUGCUCGAUCCCCUAUCUCGCCAUAUAAUAAACGCGUCUCUUCUUGAACUACCUUGCGUCUUCCGAGUUCCUGCAUUUGGGUCCUACUCUCGUUCCGAUGGGACGUGACAGAGGGCUAAGGAAGAACCCAUUGAAAUUGCUUUUUCCAGAGUUGCUACUCGGCGCGCUCUUCAAAGCCUCGCGACGAAGAGGCUUGCGAUCCGGGAUACAAAGACUUGGCUUUGCGGACGAGUGCCUACGCUACUAUCACACUAGCCGGUUUCAACCUCCAUCGUGCUGAUCGUGUCGUCAAGCUAACAAGCUUUAUUGAUACUCUUUUCAGAAGGCCAACAUUCCAGUUUUACUUUUUGAAAAAAAAGUUGACUAAAUGGAGUUUGCCUCGACAACGAGGAAUGGUGCACGGACGUUACAGAGCUCAGCACACACUGGAGCCCGCUUUUAGAGUCGCUGUUUUUGAACGGUCCGUUUGAGCAACCCACGGCACCGCAAAUAGGCAUCUUCAAGUUCUACUCAAUGUACGAGUAACGAGCUCAGGGAAAUGAAAUGGCCACCAUCAGCUAUUUGCCUGAGGCAGCACUACUGGUGCCAUCACGUGAAAACAACACAUUGGCUGCCUGAUCUACAGUACUGUCUGUAGUUUGUGUAGAUUCAGCCAUAAAGUCAUUUGUUGUUUUGGGAAAUAUGUUAAUCUUUGACAUUUAAGUGUCUCAAACGUUUAUUGUGUGUUUGUGUUAUGCUAGUGUUUGAGCAGUCUAAUUUAUGUGACUUAUGCAUAUGUGAUGUAGAUUCGUAUUGAACCUGCUGUGCUUUAGCAAUCAUUGUUUGUCCGCUGUCGAAAGAGAUGUAAUUAUGAGUUUCAAAAUAAGAGUAAAAAUCACAAGUACUAUGUUUGCUGCUCAAAUAUUGUGGGAUUAGCUGUUUUGAUAGAAUAGAAUGCGUAAAAUUGUCAAAAUACAAAGCUUUGCCUUGUAGACUACCGAUUGAUGUGGAUUGAUUGUUAUCAAGGCUUACUAACAUGAACUUUUUGUCCCUCAGUUAAAAAAACAAAACACCCACACAGCUAAACAUACUGUAUAUAUGCAAGAAGAGACGGGAAUUGUAUAAAAGGAAAAAACAGACAUAAAAUAGAAAGCCCCAAAUGAUUUUACUCGAUAAAUAUUUUCAUGAGUGGCCGAUAAAAGGGUUAAUCCAUUAAAUUUAGGUGCCUGUCAUGAUCCUGCCGCUCCAGCACGAGCUGUGCGGGUGCGCUGAUUGGGGCGCACACCUGCGUCUCAUGCGGGCUGAUUAGUCUGUGUAUUUAUAUCACCCCGAUGACGAUUGGUCCCCGCCAGUUCGUUGAGCUUCAUGUCCCGUUCCAGCACACUCGUAUCCCUGAUCAACAACCUGUGUGUACCGACCUUCGCCUGUUCUCCGACCAACCUUGUAAGCCUGACUUCUGUCGUUACUUCUGCCUGCUUUGAUUGUUCUCGUGUGUACUGACUCCUGCCUGCCCGCUCACCUGCUCUCUUCGCCCGACGUCCCAACUCCUGCUGCUGCACUGGACUGCCUGCUCGA